This 1499-nucleotide ribosomal RNA is filed under the name metagenome. RNAcentral describes it as "bacterial SSU rRNA". It matches the Rfam family "Bacterial small subunit ribosomal RNA". The record is from RNAcentral.
AGAGUUUGAUCAUGGCUCAGAUUGAACGCUGGCGGCAGGCCUAACACAUGCAAGUCGAACGGUAACAGGAAGAAGCUUGCUUCUUUGCUGACGAGUGGCGGACGGGUGAGUAAUGUCUGGGAAACUGCCUGAUGGAGGGGGAUAACUACUGGAAACGGUAGCUAAUACCGCAUAACGUCGCAAGACCAAAGAGGGGGACCUUCGGGCCUCUUGCCAUCGGAUGUGCCCAGAUGGGAUUAGCUAGUAGGUGGGGUAACGGCUCACCUAGGCGACGAUCCCUAGCUGGUCUGAGAGGAUGACCAGCCACACUGGAACUGAGACACGGUCCAGACUCCUACGGGAGGCAGCAGUGGGGAAUAUUGCACAAUGGGCGCAAGCCUGAUGCAGCCAUGCCGCGUGUAUGAAGAAGGCCUUCGGGUUGUAAAGUACUUUCAGCGGGGAGGAAGGGAGUAAAGUUAAUACCUUUGCUCAUUGACGUUACCCGCAGAAAAAGCACCGGCUAACUCCGUGCCAGCAGCCGCGGUAAUACGGAGGGUGCAAGCGUUAAUCGGAAUUACUGGGCGUAAAGCGCACGCAGGCGGUUUGUUAAGUCAGAUGUGAAAUCCCCGGGCUCAACCUGGGAACUGCAUCUGAUACUGGCAAGCUUGAGUCUCGUAGAGGGGGGUAGAAUUCCAGGUGUAGCGGUGAAAUGCGUAGAGAUCUGGAGGAAUACCGGUGGCGAAGGCGGCCCCCUGGACGAAGACUGACGCUCAGGUGCGAAAACGUGGGGAGCAAACAGGAUUAGAUACCCUGGUAGUCCACGCCGUAAACGAUGUCGACUUGGAGGUUGUGCCCUUGAGGCGUGGCUUCCGGAGCUAACGCGUUAAGUCGACCGCCUGGGGAGUACGGCCGCAAGGUUAAAACUCAAAUGAAUUGACGGGGGCCCGCACAAGCGGUGGAGCAUGUGGUUUAAUUCGAUGCAACGCGAAGAACCUUACCUGGUCUUGACAUCCACGGAAGUUUUCAGAGAUGAGAAUGUGCCUUCGGGAACCGUGAGACAGGUGCUGCAUGGCUGUCGUCAGCUCGUGUUGUGAAAUGUUGGGUUAAGUCCCGCAACGAGCGCAACCCUUAUCCUUUGUUGCCAGCGGUCCGGCCGGGAACUCAAAGGAGACUGCCGGUGAUAAACUGGGGGAAGGUGGGGAUGACGUCAAGUCAUCAUGGCCCUUACGACCAGGGCUACACACGUGCUACAAUGGCGCAUACAAAGAGAAGCGACCUCGCGAGAGCAAGCGGACCUCAUAAAGUGCGUCGUAGUCCGGAUUGGAGUCUGCAACUCGACUCCAUGAAGUCGGAAUCGCUAGUAAUCGUGGAUCAGAAUGCCACGGUGAAUACGUUCCCGGGCCUUGUACACACCGCCCGUCACACAUGGGAGUGGGUUGCAAAAGAAGUAGGUAGCUUAACCUUCGGGAGGGCGCUUACCACUUUGUGAUUCAUGACUGGGGUGAAGUCGUAACAAGGUA